CCUACGGGGGGCUGCAGUGGGGAAUAUUGGACAAUGGGCGAAAGCCUGAUCCAGCCAUGCCGCGUGUGUGAAGAAGGCCUUCGGGUUGUAAAGCACUUUCAGUGGGGAAGAAAGCCUUGGGGCUAAUACCCUCGAGGAAGGACAUCACCCACAGAAGAAGCACCGGCUAACUCCGUGCCAGCAGCCGCGGUAAUACGGAGGGUGCGAGCGUUAAUCGGAAUUACUGGGCGUAAAGCGCGCGUAGGCGGUCUGAUAAGCCGGUUGUGAAAGCCCCGGGCUCAACCUGGGAACGGCAUCCGGAACUGGCAGGCUAGAGUGCAGGAGAGGAAGGUAGAAUUCCCGGUGUAGCGGUGAAAUGCGUAGAGAUCGGGAGGAAUACCAGUGGCGAAGGCGGCCUUCUGGACUGACACUGACGCUGAGGUGCGAAAGCGUGGGUAGCAAACAGGAUUAGAUACCCCUGUAGUC
RNAcentral lists this ribosomal RNA (465 nucleotides) under Vreelandella stevensii. Its description in RNAcentral is "partial 16S ribosomal RNA". It matches the Rfam family "Bacterial small subunit ribosomal RNA", at positions 338 to 795 of the family's 1533-position model. The record is from RNAcentral. Lineage: Bacteria; Pseudomonadati; Pseudomonadota; Gammaproteobacteria; Oceanospirillales; Halomonadaceae.